Long non-coding RNA from Pipistrellus kuhlii (Kuhl's pipistrelle), 277 nucleotides. RefSeq lists it as uncharacterized. The transcript has 2 exons. The record is from RefSeq and is a predicted model, not a curated record. NCBI's taxonomy places the organism in Eukaryota, Metazoa, Chordata, Mammalia, Chiroptera, Vespertilionidae.
AAAAAAAAAGUCCUAGCUUGGAAAAUCUGAGGAUAAAGACUUGUUCGAUGCUUGAGUGUACACUGUGUUAUGCAAUCAUACUAUGCAUGCAUAUGUAAUUCAAGAGAUUUGACAGGAUGCACAAAACUAACCCAAGUGAAGCUACACACUUGUAGUCUGCUGAUACCUGUGAAAUAUGGCUGAGCUGAGAAAAGAAAGUUCAAAUUCCAGAAGUUUGAUAUGAAAGUGAACUCAGAUGUGCUCAAUUCAAUGGUGAUGAUUUUUUUUUAACUUUUUU